RNAcentral lists this ribosomal RNA (867 nucleotides) under uncultured Bacillota bacterium. Its description in RNAcentral is "bacterial SSU rRNA". It matches the Rfam family "Bacterial small subunit ribosomal RNA", at positions 68 to 918 of the family's 1533-position model. Lineage: Bacteria; Bacillati; Bacillota. The record is from RNAcentral.
GGACAGAAGGGAGCUUGCUCCUGGAUGUUAGCGGCGGACGGGUGAGUAACACGUGGGUAACCUGCCUGUAAGACUGGGAUAACUCCGGGAAACCGGAGCUAAUACCGGAUAGUUCCUUGAACCGCAUGGUUCAAGGAUGAAAGACGGUUUCGGCUGUCACUUACAGAUGGACCCGCGGCGCAUUAGCUAGUUGGUGAGGUAACGGCUCACCAAGGCGACGAUGCGUAGCCGACCUGAGAGGGUGAUCGGCCACACUGGGACUGAGACACGGCCCAGACUCCUACGGGAGGCAGCAGUAGGGAAUCUUCCGCAAUGGACGAAAGUCUGACGGAGCAACGCCGCGUGAGUGAUGAAGGUUUUCGGAUCGUAAAGCUCUGUUGUUAGGGAAGAACAAGUGCAAGAGUAACUGCUUGCACCUUGACGGUACCUAACCAGAAAGCCACGGCUAACUACGUGCCAGCAGCCGCGGUAAUACGUAGGUGGCAAGCGUUGUCCGGAAUUAUUGGGCGUAAAGGGCUCGCAGGCGGUUUCUUAAGUCUGAUGUGAAAGCCCCCGGCUCAACCGGGGAGGGUCAUUGGAAACUGGGAAACUUGAGUGCAGAAGAGGAGAGUGGAAUUCCACGUGUAGCGGUGAAAUGCGUAGAGAUGUGGAGGAACACCAGUGGCGAAGGCGACUCUCUGGUCUGUAACUGACGCUGAGGAGCGAAAGCGUGGGGAGCGAACAGGAUUAGAUACCCUGGUAGUCCACGCCAUAACGAUGAGUGCUAAGUGUUAGGGGGUUUCCGCCCCUUAGUGCUGCAGCUCACGCACUAAGCACUCCGCCCGGGGAGUACGGUCGCAAGACUGAUACUCAUAUGAAUUGACGGGC